RNAcentral lists this ribosomal RNA (600 nucleotides) under Candidatus Kaiserbacteria bacterium. RNAcentral describes it as "partial 23S ribosomal RNA". It matches the Rfam family "Bacterial large subunit ribosomal RNA", at positions 236 to 828 of the family's 2925-position model. Lineage: Bacteria; Candidatus Kaiseribacteriota. The record is from RNAcentral.
CCCCCUAGUAGUGGCGAGCGAACAGGGGACAGCCCAAACCGGGACCGUUUCGGCGGUGCCGGGGUUGUAGGACUGCGUCGUGGACUCCAUAUGUGUAGUGGAACCCUUCUGGAAAGUUGGACCAUAGCGGGUGAUAGUCCCGUACACGAAAUGCAUGUGGUACCUAGCAGUAUCCUGAGUAGGGCGGGACACGUGAGAUCCUGUCUGAACCCGCCGGAACCAUCCGGCAAGGCUAAAUACUCCUGAGAGACCGAUAGUGAACCAGUACUGCGAAGGAAAGGUGAAAAGCACCUCGAACAGAGGAGUGAAAUAGACCCUGAAACCGUACGCUUACAAGCGGUCGGAGUCCCGUUUCGACGGGAUGACGGCGUGCCUUUUGCAUAAUGAGCCUACGAGUUGCUCGUCACUGGCAAGGUUAAGGGCUUCAGGCCCGCAGCCGAAGCGAAAGCAAGUCUUAACAGGGCGCAUAGUCAGUGGCGGCAGACGCGAAACCUAAGUGAUCUAACCAUGGCCAGGAUGAAGUUCCGGUAACACGGAAUGGAGGUCCGAACCGGUAGACGUUGAAAAGUCUUCGGAUGAGCUGUGGUUAGGGGUGAAAGG